UCGUCGCGUCCGGUGUGAAAGUCCAUCGCUUAACGGUGGAUCCGCGCCGGGUACGGGCGGGCUUGAGUGCGGUAGGGGAGACUGGAAUUCCCGGUGUAACGGUGGAAUGUGUAGAUAUCGGGAAGAACACCAAUGGCGAAGGCAGGUCUCUGGGCCGUCACUGACGCUGAGGAGCGAAAGCGUGGGGAGCGAACAGGAUUAGAUACCCUGGUAGUCCACGCCGUAAACGGUGGAUGCUGGAUGUGGGGACCAUUCCACGGUCUCCGUGUCGGAGCCAACGCGUUAAGCAUCCCGCCUGGGGAGUACGGCCGCAAGGCUAAAACUCAAAGAAAUUGACGGGGGCCCGCACAAGCGGCGGAGCAUGCGGAUUAAUUCGAUGCAACGCGAAGAACCUUACCUGGGCUUGACAUGUUCCCGACAGCCGUAGAGAUACGGUCUCCCUUCGGGGCGGGUUCACAGGUGGUGCAUGGUCGUCGUCAGCUCGUGUCGUGAGAUGUUGGGUUAAGUCCCGCAACGAGCGCAACCCUCGCCCUGUGUUGCCAGCACGUCGUGGUGGGAACUCACGGGGGACCGCCGGGGUCAACUCGGAGGAAGGUGGGGAUGACGUCAGAUCAUCAUGCCCCUUACGUCCAGGGCUUCACGCAUGCUACAAUGGCCGGUACA
RNAcentral lists this ribosomal RNA (663 nucleotides) under human gut metagenome. Its description in RNAcentral is "bacterial SSU rRNA". It matches the Rfam family "Bacterial small subunit ribosomal RNA", at positions 580 to 1241 of the family's 1533-position model. The record is from RNAcentral.